This 279-nucleotide unclassified non-coding RNA is filed under the name plant metagenome. Its description in RNAcentral is "partial contains small subunit ribosomal RNA, internal transcribed spacer 1, and 5.8S ribosomal RNA". The record is from RNAcentral.
UUUCCGUAGGUGAACCUGCGGAAGGAUCAUUAUUGUAUAACCGAGGUGCGAGGGCUGUCGAUGACCCGAAAGGACUUGUACGCCCUGGUGCCCUCACACACAUCCAUCUCACCCCUAUGCGCACUAACGCGUGGGUCCUCAUUUGGCUGGUUCGGUGGGGGGCUCACGUUUACUCGCAUACUUUGUAUGUUGUCUAGUAUGUAUUUUUUGUUUUUGCGCUCACGCAAUAAAUUAUACUUUCAACAACGGAUUUCUUGGCUCUCGUAUGGAUGAAGAACG